CUGACAGCUGCACAAAGAUAACUCUGAACAACAUUGUUCAUUAUGAAUUCAAAAGACAUGUUAAUUUCCUGGAGUUUAGUUUUUGGUUUUGCUAUUCAUGGUGUUUGGAGUGAGAUUAAACUACAACAGCCCCCUUCUGAGGUGAAAAGACCAGGAGAAACUGUGAGGAUUUCAUGUGUUACAUCAGGUUACACUAUGACAGAUUAUGGCAUGAACUGGAUAAGACAGAAACCUGGGAAAGGUCUGGAAUGGAUUGGCUGGAUAAACACAGCCACCACUGUUGCUACUUAUGCCAGCUCUUUUCAGAGCCGUUUUAGCUUCACUCAAGAUGUUUCCAGCAGCACUCAGUUCAUGGAGAUCACCAGUCUCACUACAGAGGACUCUGCUGUUUACUUCUGUGCUCGAGAAACACAGUGA
Non-coding RNA from Girardinichthys multiradiatus, 417 nucleotides. The record is from the annotation of a RefSeq genome assembly. Lineage: Eukaryota; Metazoa; Chordata; Actinopteri; Cyprinodontiformes; Goodeidae.